GAUGAACGCUAGCGGAAGGCUUAAUACAUGCAAGUCGAGCGGUAGGUGGCUUCGGCCAUUGAGAGCGGCGCACGGGUGAGUAACGCGUACAUGACCUGCCUGUCAGAAGGGGAUAGCCCUGGGAAACUGGGAUUAAUACCCUAUGGUAUUGAUAUUAUGAAUGAUAUCAAUUAAAGUUGAGGCGCUGACAGAUGGAUGUGCGUCUGAUUAGCUAGUUGGUAGGGUAACGGCCUACCAAGGCGACGAUCAGUAGGGGGCGUGAGAGCGUGGUCCCCCCACACGGGUACUGAGACACGGACCCGACUCCUACGGGAGGCAGCAGUAAGGAAUAUUGGUCAAUGCCCGCAAGGGUGAACCAGCCAUUCCGCGUGGAGGAUGAAGGCCCUAU
RNAcentral lists this ribosomal RNA (388 nucleotides) under uncultured bacterium. RNAcentral describes it as "bacterial SSU rRNA". It matches the Rfam family "Bacterial small subunit ribosomal RNA", at positions 28 to 420 of the family's 1533-position model. The record is from RNAcentral.